Molecule: long non-coding RNA, 531 nt
Organism: Lycium barbarum (goji berry)
Lineage: Eukaryota; Viridiplantae; Streptophyta; Magnoliopsida; Solanales; Solanaceae
Exons: 4
Source: RefSeq, a predicted model, not a curated record
AUAAAGACUAAUGACCAGAAGAAAUAGUAAUGCGAACCAAUUUUGGCAAACAAGCUGGAUAUGUCUGAUUCUGCAUUCUCUACUUCAGCUCGAAGCUCAAGUGCUUUAUCAGUCAUUGCCUUUUCUAAGUAACGAGAGGAUUUUGUAUUCAACUGGUGAUCGGGACACACAUUAGAGCUUAACUUACCAGAGUUAAUGAGAUUUCUUAGUAGAUAAUCCUUCUCUUGAAUCGUUUCUUUUGCUCGGGUAUAUUUAGUUUCAAGAUCAUUGAAAGCUUGUUCAGCAUUCUUGAGUUCACCCUGCCAGAGGCUGGAAAGUUCAGUUAUCUUGAUAAAACAGAGACAUGGGAAGCAAAAUGUGUAACUUCUCAAUGAUCUUGGAAUAAAUUAAGACGUGCUUAGGCUGCCUACAAGAUAGAGCAGAUCAAGAGUAGCACUCCAGAUAUAUUGAUGGUAAUAGCACCUUCUGAGCUGCCUCUUCACUCAGGUAACGGUCUUGUGGUAUGUAGAUUCCGUUCUUUUCCCUCGUUGC